RNAcentral lists this ribosomal RNA (468 nucleotides) under uncultured bacterium. RNAcentral's name for it is "partial 16S ribosomal RNA". It matches the Rfam family "Bacterial small subunit ribosomal RNA", at positions 38 to 507 of the family's 1533-position model. The record is from RNAcentral.
GGGGGGGGGGGGGGGCGGGCUGAACACGGGCGAGUCGGGCGGAGAGGCCCAAGCGUGCUUGGGUGCUCGAGUGGCGAACGGGUGAGUAACACGUGGGUGAUCUGCCCUGCACUUCGGGAUAAGCCUGGGAAACUGGGUCUAAUACUGGAUAGGACCACUUCUUGGAUGGUGUGGUGGAAAGUUUUUUCGGUGUGGGAUGAGCUCGCGGCCUAUCAGCUUGUUGGUGGGGUAAUGGCCUACCAAGGCGUCGACGGGUAGCCGGCCUGAGAGGGUGUACGGCCACAUUGGGACUGAGAUACGGCCCAGACUCCUACGGGAGGCAGCAGUGGGGAAUAUUGCACAAUGGGCGCAAGCCUGAUGCAGCGACGCCGCGUGGGGGAUGACGGCCUUCGGGUUGUAAACUCCUUUCGCUAGGGACGAAGCGUUUUUGUGACGGUACCUGGAGAAGAAGCACCGGCUAACUACGUG